CGACCAUCAAGCGCGGCUUGGUAUUGGGAGCCGUCCACGGACGCGCCCUAAAGUCAGUGGCGACGCCGUCCGGCCUCUAGCGUAGUAAAUCGCCUCGCUAUGGGACCGUCCGGCCGUCUGCCGACAGCACAACCACAUCUCAA
RNAcentral lists this unclassified non-coding RNA (143 nucleotides) under uncultured Ascomycota. Its description in RNAcentral is "sequence contains ITS2". The record is from RNAcentral. Lineage: Eukaryota; Fungi; Ascomycota.